RNAcentral lists this microRNA precursor (96 nucleotides) under Petromyzon marinus (sea lamprey). Its description in RNAcentral is "miRNA (ENSPMAG00000010504.1)". The record is from RNAcentral. Lineage: Eukaryota; Metazoa; Chordata; Hyperoartia; Petromyzontiformes; Petromyzontidae.
UGUGUAUUUGUAUAUUAGUGUGUGCGUAUAAAUGUGCACACUUGUGUGGCUGUGUGCAUUGUGUGUCAUUAGUGUGUGCAUUUAUAUGUUAUGUGU